RNAcentral lists this ribosomal RNA (510 nucleotides) under uncultured bacterium. Its description in RNAcentral is "partial 16S ribosomal RNA". It matches the Rfam family "Bacterial small subunit ribosomal RNA", at positions 28 to 507 of the family's 1533-position model. The record is from RNAcentral.
GACGAACGCUGGCGGCGUGCUUAACACAUGCAAGUCGAACGAGGAGCGAUGGAAGCUUGCUUCUAUCAAUCUUAGUGGCGAACGGGUGAGUAACGCGUAAUCAACCUGCCCUUCAGAGGGGGACAACAGUUGGAAACGACUGCUAAUACCGCAUACGAUCUAAUCUCGGCAUCGAGGAUAGAUGAAAGGUGGCCUCUACAUGUAAGCUAUCACUGAAGGAGGGGAUUGCGUCUGAUUAGCUAGUUGGAGGGGUAACGGCCCACCAAGGCGAUGAUCAGUAGCCGGUCUGAGAGGAUGAACGGCCACAUUGGGACUGAGACACGGCCCAGACUCCUACGGGAGGCAGCAGUGGGGAAUCUUCCGCAAUGGACGAAAGUCUGACGGAGCAACGCCGCGUGAGCGAUGACGGCCUUCGGGUUGUAAAGCUCUGUUAAUCGGGACGAAAGGCCUCCUUGCGAAUAGUGAGAAGGAUUGACGGUACCGGAAUAGAAAGCCACGGCUAACUACGUG